CAUGGAUUGGCACACCAGUGCACUGCGAAUUAAGCUCCAAACCCGAUGCUCCCGAUGCGUCUGUGAACAACUCAAAGUCCGUGAAAGCUGUCGUGCGCUCCCGGAAAUACACCCACCCAUUAAAGUCCAUUUGAAAAACCUCCCACACAUCCAGAUUGGCUUUCAUGGAUGCCGACACCCGAAUGAAAUGAUGCGGUGAUGGUACA
Molecule: non-coding RNA, 206 nt
Organism: Pelobates cultripes (western spadefoot toad)
Lineage: Eukaryota; Metazoa; Chordata; Amphibia; Anura; Pelobatidae
Source: the annotation of a GenBank genome assembly